RNAcentral lists this ribosomal RNA (490 nucleotides) under uncultured cyanobacterium. Its description in RNAcentral is "bacterial SSU rRNA". It matches the Rfam family "Bacterial small subunit ribosomal RNA", at positions 61 to 588 of the family's 1533-position model. The record is from RNAcentral. Lineage: Bacteria; Bacillati; Cyanobacteriota.
GUCGAACGGAAUCCUUUCGAGGAUUUAGUGGCGGACGGGUGAGUAACGCGUGAGAAUCUGCCUUUAGGACGGGAACAACAACUGGAAACGGUUGCUAAAGCCCGAUGUGCCCUUCGGGGUGAAAAUAUUUAUAGCCUGAAGAUGAGCUCGCGUCAGAUUAGCUAGUUGGUUGGGUAAUGGCCGACCAAGGCGACGAUCUGUAACUGGUCUGAGAGGAUGACCAGUCACACUGGGACUGAGACACGGCCCAGACUCCUACGGGAGGCAGCAGUGGGGAAUUUUCCGCAAUGGGCGAAAGCCUGACGGAGCAAUACCGCGUGAGGGAGGAAGGCUCUUGGGUCGUAAACCUCUUUUAUCAGGGAAGAAGACAGUGACGGUACCUGAUGAAUCAGCAUCGGCUAACUCCGUGCCANCAGCCGCGGUAAUACGGAGGAUGCAAGCGUUAUCCGGAAUUAUUGGGCGUAAAGCGUCCGCAGGUGGUUUUGAAAGU